RNAcentral lists this long non-coding RNA (247 nucleotides) under Elaeis guineensis (African oil palm). RNAcentral describes it as "long non-coding RNA (EGUI_LNC013179)". Lineage: Eukaryota; Viridiplantae; Streptophyta; Magnoliopsida; Arecales; Arecaceae. The record is from RNAcentral.
GGUCUAUAGGCUCUCCAGGUACCAUGGAUAAUUUCUCUUCUAAUGACCAUCCUUCUGACAAUGGAAACACUUUUUUUUGUCUGCAGUCUUCUUCGGAGUAUUCUUCUUUGGCUUUUUCUCUUUCUUCUGCUUCUUCACAGACUUGUUCCUCUUCUUCCUUGAAGACUUUCCUUUGGAAGAAUGUGCCUGCUCUGUAGCAAGAAUAGAGUCCCUUGAACUCUUCAAAGUUUUCUCUAUAGUAACCAAC